UUUAUGGAGAGUUUGAUCCUGGCUCAGGAUGAACGCUGGCGGCGUGCUUAACACAUGCAAGUCGAACGAUGAAGCCGGAGCUUGCGCUGGUGGAUUAGUGGCGAACGGGUGAGUAACACGUGAGUAACCUGCCCUUGACUCUGGAAUAAGCGUUGGAAACGACGUCUCAUACCGGAUACGAGCUUCAGCCGCAUGGCUAGGAGCUGGAAAGAAUUUCGGUCAAGGAUGGACUCGCGGCCUAUCAGGUAGUUGGUGAGGUAAUAGCUCACCAAGCCUACGACGGGUAGCCGGCCUGAGAGGGUGACCGGCCACACUGGAACUGAGACACGGUCCAGACUCCUACGGGAGGCA
This 351-nucleotide ribosomal RNA is filed under the name Pseudoalteromonas sp. SWN29. RNAcentral's name for it is "bacterial SSU rRNA". It matches the Rfam family "Bacterial small subunit ribosomal RNA", at positions 1 to 350 of the family's 1533-position model. The record is from RNAcentral. Lineage: Bacteria; Pseudomonadati; Pseudomonadota; Gammaproteobacteria; Alteromonadales; Pseudoalteromonadaceae.